Molecule: ribosomal RNA, 470 nt
Filed under: Daphnia villosa
Lineage: Eukaryota; Metazoa; Arthropoda; Branchiopoda; Diplostraca; Daphniidae
Description: partial small subunit ribosomal RNA
Rfam family: Microsporidia small subunit ribosomal RNA (bases 111-470)
Source: RNAcentral
GUGAAAUUUUUAAUAAGAUACAAGUUCCCUGCUAAUUUAUUGGGGGCUAGAAAGUUUAGGUAAAAAACCAGGAUUAGAUACCCUGUUAUUCUAAAAAAUAGUAAAAGAUAGGGUAGUAAAAGUUGUUCUUCAAACCCAAAGAUUUUGGCGGCACCCCACCCUAAUAGAGGAGCUUGUCCUGUAAUUGAUAAUCCUCACUUUAUCUUACCUUUCCUUGUCUAGCUUGUAUACCGCCGUUGCCAGAUUACUUUAAAAGAGUGUUUUCGAGAAAAAUAUUUUUUUUACUUCAGGUCAAGGUGCAGUUUAUGGGAGGGUAGUUAUGAGCUACAAUUUCUACUAGAAAAUACGAAUUCUAGGUUAAAACCUGGUUGAAGGUGGAUUUGUUAGUAAAUUUAUUUGAGUAUAGUAAAUUGAAUGUGGCAAUGGGGUGUGUACAUAUCGCCCGUCACUCUCUUCUUAAGAGGAGAUAA